This 767-nucleotide ribosomal RNA is filed under the name Stemphylium vesicarium. RNAcentral describes it as "eukaryotic LSU rRNA". It matches the Rfam family "Eukaryotic large subunit ribosomal RNA", at positions 144 to 930 of the family's 3401-position model. The record is from RNAcentral. Lineage: Eukaryota; Fungi; Ascomycota; Dothideomycetes; Pleosporales; Pleosporaceae.
UGUAAUUUGCAGAGGGCGCUUUGGCUUUGGCAGCGGUCCAAGUUCCUUGGAACAGGACGUCACAGAGGGUGAGAAUCCCGUACGUGGUCGCUAGCUAUCGCCGUGUAAAGCCCCUUCGACGAGUCGAGUUGUUUGGGAAUGCAGCUCUAAAUGGGAGGUAAAUUUCUUCUAAAGCUAAAUAUUGGCCAGAGACCGAUAGCGCACAAGUAGAGUGAUCGAAAGAUGAAAAGCACUUUGGAAAGAGAGUCAAACAGCACGUGAAAUUGUUGAAAGGGAAGCGCUUGCAGCCAGACUUGCUUGCAGUUGCUCAUCCGGGCUUUUGCCCGGUGCACUCUUCUGUAGGCAGGCCAGCAUCAGUUUGGGCGGUGGGAUAAAGGUCUCUGUCACGUACCUCUCUUCGGGGAGGCCUUAUAGGGGAGACGACAUACCACCAGCCUAGACUGAGGUCCGCGCAUCUGCUAGGAUGCUGGCGUAAUGGCUGUAAGCGGCCCGUCUUGAAACACGGACCAAGGAGUCUAACAUCUAUGCGAGUGUUUGGGUGUCAAGCCCGAGCGCGUAAUGAAAGUGAACGGAGGUGGGAACCCGCAAGGUGCACCAUCGACCGAUCCUGAAGUUUUCGGAAGGAUUUGAGUAAGAGCAUGGCUGUUGGGACCCGAAAGAUGGUGAACUAUGCUUGAAUAGGGUGAAGCCAGAGGAAACUCUGGUGGAGGCUCGCAGCGGUUCUGACGUGCAAAUCGAUCGUCAAAUUUGGGCAUAGGGGCGAAAGA